RNAcentral lists this ribosomal RNA (468 nucleotides) under uncultured bacterium. RNAcentral describes it as "partial 16S ribosomal RNA". It matches the Rfam family "Bacterial small subunit ribosomal RNA", at positions 28 to 507 of the family's 1533-position model. The record is from RNAcentral.
GACGAACGCUGGCGGCGUGCUUAACACAUGCAAGUCGAACGGAAAGGCCCUGCUUUUGUGGGGUGCUCGAGUGGCGAACGGGUGAGUAACACGUGAGUAACCUGCCCUUGACUUUGGGAUAACUUCAGGAAACUGGGGCUAAUACCGGAUAGGAGCUCCUGCUGCAUGGUGGGGGUUGGAAAGAUUCGGCGGUUGGGGAUGGACUCGCGGCUUAUCAGCUUGUUGGUGGGGUAGUGGCUUACCAAGGCUUUGACGGGUAGCCGGCCUGAGAGGGUGACCGGCCACAUUGGGACUGAGAUACGGCCCAGACUCCUACGGGAGGCAGCAGUGGAGAAUAUUGCACAAUGGGCGGAAGCCUGAUGCAGCAACGCCGCGUGCGGGAUGACGGCCUUCGGGUUGUAAACCGCUUUCGCCUGUGACGAAGCGUGAGUGACGGUAAUGGGUAAAGAAGCACCAGCUAACUACGUG